AAAGUCGUAACAAGGUCUCCGUUGGUGAACCAGCGGAGGGAUCAUUACCGAGUUUACAACUCACAACCCACUGUGAACAUACCUAUGUUGCUUCGGCGGUCACGGCUCCGGCCCGCCGCCGAAGACCCAAACUCUUGUUUUCCAUGUGUCUACUCUGAGUAUUCUUGAAAUAAAUCAAAACCUUCAACAACGGAUCUCUUGGCUCUG
This 207-nucleotide unclassified non-coding RNA is filed under the name Ascomycota sp. RNAcentral's name for it is "partial contains small subunit ribosomal RNA, internal transcribed spacer 1, and 5.8S ribosomal RNA". The stretch from base 1 to 47 matches the Rfam family "Eukaryotic small subunit ribosomal RNA", at positions 1785 to 1831 of the family's 1831-position model. The record is from RNAcentral. Lineage: Eukaryota; Fungi; Ascomycota.